Molecule: long non-coding RNA, 1308 nt
Organism: Mus musculus (house mouse)
Lineage: Eukaryota; Metazoa; Chordata; Mammalia; Rodentia; Muridae
Product: predicted gene, 35606
Exons: 3
Source: RefSeq, a predicted model, not a curated record
CCAACCUUUCUAGCCACAGCUGCAGCCAGCUGUGAGAUGGGUUGGAUUAAGACAAAAAAGCCACACUUGCUGGCCCAAGACAUAAAAAAUCCAAAUGGAAAGAGGACAGGAUAUAAAACAAGAGACACAAGACUCAGCCACAUUCUCCAUGACAGUUAAAAGAGGAAACACGGGCUCCUCUGCCAGAGGGUGGAGAUACUCAUAUUCUGCCUUGUAAGUGGGAUUCUCUCUGUGCUAUUUCUUGCCAGACUUAGACAUGACACAGAUUGCUUUUCAGUCUCUGGUUGUUAGGUUAGAGAGGCUCUGUCCCCCCACAGGCUGGACUUGAGACCAGAUACCAUCACAUCCCUCAAGAAGCUCACAGUCCAGUAAGCAAAGCAGGUGCACAGUGACCACGUUAGAACAUGGUAAGCAUGCGAUGAAGAUCUGUGAGCAUCACCCGUCCCCAUGGGAACAGAGGUAUGAGCAGAUCACCCCAUCCCCCAUGGAAACACGGGAUAUUUCCGCCUGCAAUAGGGAAAAGAUGUAAGAACACCUAAAGUGGAAGUUUUUCAGGCGCAGCAAAUGGCCAGGAAGUCAAAAAAGGUUGCAGCAUCAUGGCAGGAAAGGGAAGGUAUCUAGUGUGCUCAACACAGUGGGGUCUUGGGGAAAAGAAUGCUUUAAAGACCCUGCUUUAGGGCAGGGGAACCUCAGUGGAGCAGAUGCCAAGAGCCUGAGGUGCCAGGAUCCAGACCUUAGCCAGUAAAGGGGAGGCCUGUUUCUGCAGAAGCGGAAAUCUUGUGAAGCUUACAGGUGAGUGGGUUUAAUGAGACAGGGUCUUACUGCAUAGCCCAGACUGACUUACAAUACACAGUGUCAUGCAACCUAGGGUGGCCUCAACUCAGAGCAAUUCUCCUGCCUCCAUUUCCAGGGCAGAGCUACAGAUAUAGGUUGCCAUGGCAUUUCUGAGUCAUUGUUUGGUUAAUAGACAAACCAACUCUUGUGUAGACUUGCAUUUAACAUGGGCCCUCAACUAGCUAGGACUAAGAAAAACCAUGUCUCUGUAAACCCCAUUUAUAAAACCGAAGCGAUCCAAGUAGCUCCCACAUGGGAUUGCUUUAAGGACUGAGUUGAUACAUGCCAAUCAUUUAGACGUGCACUUGACACACAUUAUUUCCCACCAGCAUGCCCUCCCAUUUUAGAAGCUACGCCUGCCUGCCUGCCUGCCUGCCUGCCUGCCUGCCUGCCCUCCUGCCUACAGCCAGUACUCCUUCCAGGCAUCGAGAGUCACCCAAGAUGGCCAAGGGUCUUCCAAAGAUGUCAAGGUAU